RNAcentral lists this ribosomal RNA (253 nucleotides) under uncultured bacterium. Its description in RNAcentral is "partial 16S ribosomal RNA". It matches the Rfam family "Bacterial small subunit ribosomal RNA", at positions 524 to 776 of the family's 1533-position model. The record is from RNAcentral.
UACGGGGGGAGCAAGCGUUGUUCGGAUUUACUGGGCGUAAAGGGCGCGUAGGCGGUACAACAAGUCACUUGUGAAAUCUUGAAGCUUAACUUCAAACGGUCAAGUGAUACUGUUGAACUAGAGUGCAGAAGGGGCAACUGGAAUUCUCGGUGUAGCGGUGAAAUGCGUAGAUAUCGAGAGGAACACCUGCGGCGAAGGCGGGUUGCUGGGCUGACACUGACGCUGAGGCGCGAAAGCUAGGGGAGCGAACGGG